RNAcentral lists this unclassified non-coding RNA (433 nucleotides) under soil metagenome. RNAcentral's name for it is "partial contains 5.8S ribosomal RNA, internal transcribed spacer 2, and large subunit ribosomal RNA". The stretch from base 1 to 120 matches the Rfam family "5.8S ribosomal RNA", at positions 35 to 154 of the family's 154-position model. The record is from RNAcentral.
GAUGAAGAACGUAGCGAAAUGCGAUACGUAAUGUGAAUUGCAGAAUUCAGUGAAUCAUCGAAUCUUUGAACGCAUAUUGCGCUCUCUGGUAUUCCGGAGAGCAUGCUUGUUUGAGUAUCAGUAAACACCUCAACUUCCAUAUCUUUCUUGAAAUGGGAGUUGGACUUGAGUGAUCCCAACGCUUUUCCUCACCGAAAAGUGGCGGGUUACUUGAAAUGCAGGUGCAGCUGGACUUUUCUCUGAGCUAUAAGCAUAUCUAUUUAGUCUGCCUAAAAAACAGAUUAUUACCUUUGCUGCAGCUAACAUAAAGGAGAUUAGUUCUUGUGCUGACUGAUGCAGGAUUCACAAAGACAGGCUUCGGCCGACUUUGUAAACUCGAUCUCAAAUCAAGUAAGACUACCCGCUGAACUUAAGCAUAUCAAUAAGCGGAGGA